AGGACGAACGCUGGCGGCGUGCUUAACACAUGCAAGUCGAGCGGAAAGGCCCUUCGGGGUACUCGAGCGGCGAACGGGUGAGUAACACGUGGGCAACCUGCCCCUAGCUCUGGGAUAACUUCGGGAAACCGAGGCUAAUACCGCAUAAAACCUAAGGGUCAAAGGAGCAAUCCGUUUGAGGAGGGGGUCGCGGCAGAUUAGUUAGUUGGCGGGGUAAUGGCCCACCAAGACGAUGAUCUGUAUCC
Molecule: ribosomal RNA, 245 nt
Filed under: uncultured bacterium
Lineage: Bacteria
Description: partial small subunit ribosomal RNA
Rfam family: Bacterial small subunit ribosomal RNA
Source: RNAcentral